This 314-nucleotide unclassified non-coding RNA is filed under the name Hevea brasiliensis (rubber tree). Lineage: Eukaryota; Viridiplantae; Streptophyta; Magnoliopsida; Malpighiales; Euphorbiaceae. The record is from RNAcentral.
AUUUCUUCUGCCAGUUCAGCCCAGUUGUCGCUCAAAGCUCGUGAAAGUAAUCUAGCCUCCUUUAGGGAAAUAGUUGAAUUUGAUGUCUUCUCAUGAAUAAGUUCUGUGGUUUCUUUCAAUUUUUCUCUCCGCCAACUUUCCACCGCAUCUCGUAGCAUGGUCGCAUCUUCAUUAGCAUUCACGCCUUUUAAAGUUACUAGUAUCUCAUCUGUUAUCUUCUGUUUAAUAUGUUCCGGUAUUUGCUGCACCUUUUCAUCCAUCGAAAGUUUGUUCUUUAAGAAAUUUACCACAUUAAUAAGUUCUACAGGUUCUAG